AAUUGCUUGGUGUUUUUGUCCAUCAAGCUGCCUCCCCAGCACACUGCAGUGUAGGACAGUGCACUGGCCACCACCAUGUGAUAGAUUAUGGUCAACAUCUCCACACACACAUCAAAGGACCUCAGUGUUCGCAAUGUAGAGGGUGUCAGUCCAGCUUGUCAUCCAAGAGGACCCCCAGAUCUUUGUGGGUGUGCACCACCUCAAUGUCCUCCCCCUAUAUGGAGACUGGUUGAUAGGGUGACCUCUUCCUUCUGAAAUCCACUACCAUCUCCUUGGUUUUGGCUGUGUUCAUGUGGAGACAGCACUACCUGCACCAGUCCCUGAAGGCAUCCACAAAGUCCCUGUACUCUCGCUCCUGAUCACUCCUGAUACAAGCCACAAUAGCUAGUAUCGUCAGAGUAUUUUUAUAUGUGGCAGGACUCUGAGUUGUGCUUAAAGUCUGCUGUGUAGAGUGUGAACAGGAACGGUCCUAAAAGAGUAUAAUAUAAUGUCAGGCUGGUUGAUGCUGUUAGCUUCACUUUAGAUCAUAAACCAAACGUUUUACUCUGUUUAGUUCUCACGGCUUUCAUAAUGGCUCCUCUCCUGGUAUUGUAUCUAUAUAUCCCAAAUCCCAAACUCCAAUUCUUCUGUCAAAACUGCAAGUACACAAUAUAUACAGUAGAGUGACAGAGGAGCAGCUGCAGCAGUCGACUUAUCUCACUGCGUUGCAGAACGGAGUGUUUCAGGAGAUCCUUCGUCCCCACAGCAAUAAAACUGUUUAACACCUCCUGAAUCCAGUCACGCACACUUACACACUUACACAAAAGUAAAACAAAGCUGUCCUUCAUUUAAUGUGAUUUUUAUCAUUCCAAUAGUUGAAAAAUAUUAGUUUGCUCAUUUAAACUAAACUUUCUAAUUUAUGUUUAUGGUUGAAUCUGUUUUUCGUAUUUUACUAUAAUGUAAACUGACAGCGGGGCACCAAACUGAAAUGUUUCAUUUUGAUCAGAGGAUUUUUAUUAGAUUGAGUAUGAUUUGCGCAUGCGCAGUCUUUAAACUUCUGGCGGUAAAUGUAUUUCCGCCUCAAAUGGUCCUGCAUUUCGGAUUUCAUUCUGGUAACGUUAAAGAUAGUCAUUUCGGUUUCUAAGUAUGUAUUAUUCUGUCCUUGACUGGACGUUGUUUUCAGUCCUCUGGGCCGCCCUGUAUCUUUAAGUGAGUCCGGAGAGAGCAGAGCCGGCCAGGCAGACAGUGGAUAAGGUUGGGAGAGGAGGAGCUGCCGAGCAAGGUAAAAUUUUCACUCAGAUAAAAUAGAAAGACAUCAUAAAACGUUGUUAAAUCAUAACGGUAACAGCUUGUACAUGGUGUGAAGCUUGUAUGAGUAUGAGUGUAUGAGUGUGUGUGGCCACUGAAACACAUGCUGCCAUGAGUUACUAAACUAAGCUAAGCUAGGGAGAGCUAAGGUUACGGCUAAUAAAAGUAACGUUAACGUAGCAUUAACACGAACAGUACAUUCACGGACUUGGAUGCAGUUUCACUCAGUAACAGUUAAUACAGCGGAGGACUCAGUCCCUCUGCUGUGUGGAGAGGAGAGCAACAGGAAAGACGUGAACUCGCUAGGUUAUGUGCAUUAAAAGCUAAAAAUUCGUAAAAAGUAGUGGAAAUGUUGUAAUGUCCGGUCAUCUGGGCAACAGUCUGCAGGGCAGGCCUGUCGCGAUAUGCCGGUUAAUUGCAUGGUAAAUUAAAAGGGACUAAUUGCCAUAUUCAUGCGUGUUUGUUUUCCUCGUCUCUCUCCACCAAAGAGACUGGACGACAAGAGCAUUCACUGCCGUGCAUCAUCUGGCAGCCAGGUGAGUUGGUUCAUUAGCGUAAUGAACGGAGGGAAACCUCUUGUCAUCGAGUGUCUUUGUCUCUUGUUCCGACCUUCAAAAAAAGGUUUACAUGAAGUUAAAAAAUUCAGGUUAAACUGAAAGGAUUAUUUGCAUUAAGUAAUAGAUCCAACUUAAUUAUUUUAAUUUAGGACAACUUGAAAUAAUUGGUUUGCUUCACCUUCAGAAAUUAAUUUACAUUAAGUUAAACAAUUCAGGUUAAACUAAAUGAAUUAUUUACAUUGACUCAAUGCUAAAAUAUUAGGUGUGACCGAUUACUUCAGUUUUUUUAAGUUGAUCUAAUGUUUCAUUUUUUUCAGUGUAUUCUACUCUCUUCUAUUCAAUUAAAAACUGAUAUUGGCUGCCUGUUUGACAGUUCUCUCAACAUAGAGCCUUUGUGAGAUGUCAAAAAUUUAAUCUUGUGGAGCUAAAGUUGGCUCACUUUAAUCAGAAAGAGACAUUGUAAAGGGGAUAGCAACAAUCAUAUUUAUUUUUAGACACCCCACAUUUAAAAACAACUAGGCCAGUUAAAGUUGUAUGUCAAGGCUGUAGCAAUGGCUGCUUCCGUGCAGCAUAUAAAUGCUAAUUCAAAUAAUCUUUAAUGACAAAUUUAUUCGAAAAAUGUAAUGAUGCAUUGUGUGACUCCCCUCCUCCUGUAUGGCUUCCUCUCUGUUCUCCACUGAUGUCUUCUCUGCUCUGAUAUUCUUCAGUCUACUUCAGCAGCAUUGAAAUAUUAACCAAGCCCCAUUAAACUCUAGACAGCAGCAAACAUACAGCUCAAAAAUUCAGAGACAAGCAUAGGGCAGCAUUUUUGUCACUUUGUCUCUGUGGGGGAGGUGGGGCUAUGGGCGACACACAGUGAUCUUCGUGAGGGGGAGACGAGGUGGAGAAGAAAACAGAGAGUUGAGCAUAAGAGAAAAACAUGGAACUUGUUCCUAAACCAAACACCACGGCCCCUGUGUGGGAGCGUUUUGGAUGUAAACCAAAUGACAGAGGGGAGCCCAGUAAUUUGGACGAGCCGGUGUGCCAGGUUUGUUCUAAAACCAUCUCAACAAAAAGAGAGAAUACGACCAACUUAACUGCACACUUGAGAGUGAGAGACUGACAGUCUAUUUUUGUAUUUAUUUAUUUAUUUAUUUCGGAUAUUUAAAUUUUCUUUUUUGCAUUCCUAAAUAUUCUUGUUAAAUAAAUGUUUAUUUCUCUUUAAAAGGGUGUACUUACAUCAAUAUGCCUUUAUUAUCAUUAUAUAAGUUUAAAAAUGGUCUAAAAACAGCAAAACAACAACAGUACAACAAUAAUAAAAAUGGUCUUAAAAGCACAAUAUCACGCAAUAUUAACGCUUAUUGCAAGAAUUUCUGAUGCAAUUAAUCGCCCAGCAAAAUUUGUUAUCGUGACAGGCCUACAGCAGGGCAUGCCAAAAUCAUCAGUGUUUGAAAAUACUCAGAGACCCCAGAGGAUUAAUUGAUCAGUGUUUUCUCUGGAACUGUGUAAAUAAUGAAUCAACAUAAGUUAUGUUUUGUCAGGUAUUUUGUUUCGUAGUAAAUCUCAAUUAAAAAAGAACAGAAGACAUAAUAUUUUGUCAAGUUUACACUGUACAGUUUGUAGUUCAUGUAACAGUGUUUUGCUUUAAUCUAAAAAGUGCAUAACAGUUACAGUGUUAAAAUAAUUUAGAUUCACUUAGAAAUUAAUUUACUCUAUAACUGAUUUAAGAUUACACCCCUAGUCAUAUUGUGCACCUAUUUAACUAUAUAUGCCAAAAAAUAAUCCCAUCAAUUUCUUUGUGCAUUACUAUAUCUUGGAAACGUUUGUUAAUGGUGCCACAUUAUUUAGUAAUGUGAAGUAGGUUAAUAGUAAAAAUAUGUGAUGUCUGUACCUCAAUUUUAAAUAUAUAGUUCAGUUUAAAUGAAAAUUACCUUGUGUUCAUUAUUUAUGACAUAAUGUUAGCAGGCCCAUCUAUUUCUAAUGUAGCUGGUAGUUUGCUGCACUGUAACAUGUGAUAGAAAUGCACCAAAAUGUUAGCCAACUGCCCUAAAAUCAUAAAAUAAAAGUAAGUUAUAGGCCUAAGGGUAGUCAAUGUAUGUUGAGUAUUUAUUAAGCCAUCAAAUGUGUUUGCUACUAAUGUCAUGCACUCAUUAAGAAUACCCAACAUUAAAGAAUGUUUUGUCUUUUAACUUAAGGAAAGCAGCCACCAAAUCUGCUGUGCAAUCAAAUCUGCUUUGCAACCAAAUCUGCCGUGCAUUCUUUUCAACUUGUGAUCAUUGCUGAGUUCCUGCGAGUGACCACAGUUCCCUUGGAGACAAAAUUCUUUGCGCAGUUGAACAAGAACUCCUCCAAACUGCUGGAGGUUUUAGAUGAGGACAUGCAGGAAAAUGAGGAACUGGAGCAGGCAACCAUGGUGAUCUUUGUCACUGGGAGAGAGGAUCCUUCCCAUCCACCCAAAGACAUUAAGAUAGUCAUCGAUGGAACACAGAUCAUGAACGAGGUGCCCUCAGUUACAAAAGCUGUUGCCAUGCUCUUCGGGCUCACAUACACACUCAACCUAAAAUAUCCGAAAAAUCUGCAAUACAUCCUUGAAUUUGUGCAAAAAGUCCUGAUGAGGCUUGGUGGAAAAAAGAUAUCCCCAAAAGUUCAUAGGCUGAGCUCCCAGCUUUACAUCCCAGAGUAGGCAGAGUUGAAUUCCACUGACUCGCAUCACAGGCUCAAGUAGGCAGUGUGCUGAAAAACUGGAGAACGAUUACAUUUGCACUGCAGUGUUUGUACACAUUUUUGUACGGCAGAUAGGUUAGAUUUUUCAGAUCCACACACAUGUUUGCAGGUUUUGUAAGGCAGAUAGAUUAGAAAUUCAAGCCAAGGAAUAAGGAACUGGAGGUUUCUCUUUGGAACUGAGGAGAUUUACGCAAAUCAUCUGAAAACACUUAAGGAAAGUCCUUUCAGCAACUGUUACGGUGUUGAGUAAAUGCGUUCUGUCAGAAGACAGACAUUCUCCAGACAAUGUCCAGGAUUUUAUUUUACGGAAAAAUUCCUGUUGAAAUAGCUCUCUGAUUGUAUUACUUUCCAAAAUGUAUUUUACUUUGACUAUUUUGAAAUAGGAACAUUUUCGGAUUAUUUGUUUUAUCAGUCCAUUUAUAGAGAAUCUAUUGCCGUGUUCAGUGUUGUUGUAAUUUUAUCAAGUGAUUUAUUUUUGUCACUGAGAAAUUUAGUUUGGGUUUG
Molecule: long non-coding RNA, 5051 nt
Organism: Epinephelus fuscoguttatus (brown-marbled grouper)
Lineage: Eukaryota; Metazoa; Chordata; Actinopteri; Perciformes; Serranidae
Exons: 3
Source: RefSeq, a predicted model, not a curated record